ACGGAAGGCAGCAGCUAUGAAUAUUCCGCAAUGGGCGAAAGCCUGACGGAGCGACACCGCGUGGAUGAAGAAGGCCGGAAGGUUGUAAAAUCCUUUUGAAACCGAGGAAUAAGCAUCGGAGGGAAUGCCGGUGUGAUGACUGUAAGUUUUGAAUAAGCAACGGCUAAUUACGUGCCAGCAGCCGCGGUAACACGUAAGUUGCGAGCGUUGUUCGGAAUUAUUGGGCGUAAAGGGCAUGUAGGCGGUCUGGCAAGCUUGGUGUGAAAGCCCGGAGCUCAACUCCGGAACAGCAUUGAGAACUACCAGGCUAGAAUCACUGAGGGGGAACCGGAAUUCCAGGUGUAGGGGUGAAAUCUGUAGAUAUCUGGAAGAACACCAAUGGCGAAGGCAGGCUGCUGGCAGAUGAUUGACGCUGAGGUACGAAAGUGCGGGGAGCAAACAGGAUUAGAUACCCUGGUA
Molecule: ribosomal RNA, 459 nt
Filed under: uncultured Treponema sp.
Lineage: Bacteria; Pseudomonadati; Spirochaetota; Spirochaetia; Treponematales; Treponemataceae
Description: partial 16S ribosomal RNA
Rfam family: Bacterial small subunit ribosomal RNA
Source: RNAcentral